CUCAAAUGAAUUGACGGGGGCCCGCACAAGCGGUGGAGUAUGUGGUUAAUUCGAUGCAACGCGAAGAACUUACCUGGUCUUGACAUCCCGGAGACCCUUAGGAAACUAGGGGGUGCUUCCAUCUGGAAGAAUCUGGAGACAGGUGCUGCAUGGCUGUCGUCAGCUCGUGUCGUGAGAUGUUGGGUUAAGUCCCGCAACGAGCGCAACCCUUGCCUUUAGUUGCCAGCAGUUCGGCUGGGCACUCUAAAGGGACUGCCGGUGUUAAACCGGAGGAAGGUGGGGAUGACGUCAAGUCCUCAUGGCCUUUAUGACCAGGGCUACACACGUACUACAAUGGCCGAUACAAAGGGCAGCGACACUGCGAGGUGAAGCCAAUCCCGUAAAAUCGGUCUCAGUCCGGAUUGGAGUCUGCAACUCGACUGCGUGAAGUCGGAAUCGCUAGUAAUCGUGAAUCAGAAUGUCACGGUGAAUACGUUCCCGGGCCUU
RNAcentral lists this ribosomal RNA (486 nucleotides) under uncultured Desulfobulbus sp. RNAcentral describes it as "bacterial SSU rRNA". It matches the Rfam family "Bacterial small subunit ribosomal RNA", at positions 900 to 1382 of the family's 1533-position model. Lineage: Bacteria; Pseudomonadati; Thermodesulfobacteriota; Desulfobulbia; Desulfobulbales; Desulfobulbaceae. The record is from RNAcentral.